GAGCUAACGCGUUAAGUCGACCGCCUGGGGAGUACGGCCGCAAGGUUAAAACUCAAAUGAAUUGACGGGGGCCCGCACAAGCGGUGGAGCAUGUGGUUUAAUUCGAUGCAACGCGAAGAACCUUACCUACUCUUGACAUCCAGCGAACUUUCCAGAGAUGGCUUGGUGCCUUCGGGAACGCUGAGACAGGUGCUGCAUGGCUGUCGUCAGCUCGUGUUGUGAAAUGUUGGGUUAAGUCCCGCAACGAGCGCAACCCUUAUCCUUUGUUGCCAGCGAUUCGGUCGGGAACUCAAAGGAGACUGCCGGUGAUAAACCGGAGGAAGGUGGGGAUGACGUCAAGUCAUCAUGGCCCUUACGAGUAGGGCUACACACGUGCUACAAUGGCGCAUACAAAGAGAAGCGACCUCGCGAGAGCAAGCGGACCUCAUAAAGUGCGUCGUAGUCCGGAUCGGAGUCUGCAACUCGACUCCGUGAAGUCGGAAUCGCUAGUAAUCGUGGAUCAGAAUGCCACGGUGAAUACGUUCCCGGGCCUUGUACACACCGCCCGUCACACCAUGGGAGUGGGUUGCAAAAGAAGUAGGUAGCUUAACCUUCGGGAGGGCGC
Molecule: ribosomal RNA, 604 nt
Filed under: Pantoea sp.
Lineage: Bacteria; Pseudomonadati; Pseudomonadota; Gammaproteobacteria; Enterobacterales; Erwiniaceae
Description: bacterial SSU rRNA
Rfam family: Bacterial small subunit ribosomal RNA
Source: RNAcentral